CCCUUAGAUGUUCUGGGCCGCACGCGUGCUACACUGAUGCAUUCAACGAGUCUAAAACCUGGUCUGAUAGGGCUGGGUAAUCUUUUGAAAGUGCAUCGUGAUUGGGAUAGAUGAUUGCAAUUCUUCAUCUUCAACGAGGAAUGCCUAGUAAACGCAAGUCAUCAGCUUGCAUUGAUUACGUCCCUGCCCUUUGUACACACCGCCCGUCGCUACUACCGAUUGAACGUUUUAGUGAGCUCCUCGGAUUGUCAGCCUGGCGGUUAAUCCUGCCUGGCUAGCGAAAAGACGAGCAAACUUGAGCGUUUAGAGGAAGUAAAAGUCGUAACA
This 327-nucleotide ribosomal RNA is filed under the name uncultured eukaryote. RNAcentral describes it as "partial 18S ribosomal RNA". It matches the Rfam family "Eukaryotic small subunit ribosomal RNA", at positions 1470 to 1796 of the family's 1831-position model. The record is from RNAcentral.